This 344-nucleotide ribosomal RNA is filed under the name uncultured soil bacterium. Its description in RNAcentral is "bacterial SSU rRNA". It matches the Rfam family "Bacterial small subunit ribosomal RNA", at positions 26 to 371 of the family's 1533-position model. The record is from RNAcentral.
AGAUUGAACGCUGGCGGCAGGCCUAACACAUGCAAGUCGAGCGGUAGAGAGGUGCUUGCACCUCUUGAGAGCGGCGGACGGGUGAGUAAUGCCUAGGAAUCUGCCUAGUGGUGGGGGAUAACGUUCGGAAACGGACGCUAAUACCGCAUACGUCCUACGGGAGAAAGCGGGGGACCUUCGGGCCUCGCGCCAUUAGAUGAGCCUAGGUCGGAUUAGCUAGUUGGUGAGGUAAUGGCUCACCAAGGCGACGAUCCGUAACUGGUCUGAGAGGAUGAUCAGUCACACUGGAACUGAGACACGGUCCAGACUCCGUACGGGAGCAGCAGUGGGGAAUAGUUGGACAA